CACGUAGGGGGCAAGCGUUGUCCGGAUUUAUUGGGCGUAAAGGGCGCGUAGGCGGCUUGUUAAGUCAGCUGUGAAAGCCCGGGGCUCAACCCCGGAGGGUCAGUUGAUACUGGCAGGCUAGAGUACGGAAGAGGAGAGUGGAAUUCCUGGUGUAGCGGUGAAAUGCGCAGAUAUCAGGAAGAACACCCGUGGCGAAGGCGGCUCUCUGGGACGGUACUGACGCUGAGACGCGAAAGCGUGGGGAGCGAACAGG
This 253-nucleotide ribosomal RNA is filed under the name uncultured bacterium. Its description in RNAcentral is "partial 16S ribosomal RNA". It matches the Rfam family "Bacterial small subunit ribosomal RNA", at positions 524 to 776 of the family's 1533-position model. The record is from RNAcentral.